Molecule: ribosomal RNA, 773 nt
Filed under: uncultured Neocallimastigales
Lineage: Eukaryota; Fungi; Neocallimastigomycota; Neocallimastigomycetes; Neocallimastigales
Description: partial large subunit ribosomal RNA
Rfam family: Eukaryotic large subunit ribosomal RNA
Source: RNAcentral
AUGUGAUCGUCUCUCGCAUAUCAAUAAGCGGAGGAAAAGAAACUAACAAGGAUUCCCCUAGUAACGGCGAGUGAAGCGGGAAGAGCUCAAAUUUGAAAUCUUAAAGGGUUUCCCUUUACGAAUUGUAGUUUAAAGAAGUGUUUUCUGUUGAGGUUUUGGUAAAAGUUCUUUGGAAUAGGACAUCAUAGAGGGUGAGAAUCCCGUAUUUGACCCUUACUUUCAACUUUGUGAUACACUUUCAAAGAGUCGGAUUGUUUGGGAAUACAGUCCAAAAUGGGUGGUAAAUUUCAUCUAAAGCUAAAUAUUGGCGAGAGACCGAUAGCGAACAAGUACCGUGAGGGAAAGAUGAAAAGAACUUUGAAAAGAGAGUUAAACAGUACGUGAAAUUGUCAAAAGGGAAGCGUUUGACACCAGUGUUGUUUUUCUGAAAAUCAAUUAAAGAACUGUUUAUGCUAAGCUGUUUAGACUUUAUCAGCUAUCUGUUUAGUUUUGAGCUUUUCUUUAAUGCACUUUUCAGUUAACAAGUCAACAUCGAUUUCUUUUGCUGUAAAAAAGCUUGAGGAAGGUGGCUUGAGAUUCGUCUUAAGUGUUUAUAGCCUCUUGCCUAUGCAGUCGGAGAGAUUGAGGUCUGCAGCGUAGAUCCUUCGGGGCUAAAUGCAUUUGUGCUAAGUUAUAGCAUUUUAUAGACAACUUGUUGACUAUGAUUUGUCUUGUAGCUUACUCGCUUAUGUUAUUUUACCUACGCUUAGGAUGUUGAAGAUAUGCGCGACACG